Molecule: unclassified non-coding RNA, 314 nt
Filed under: plant metagenome
Description: partial contains 5.8S ribosomal RNA, internal transcribed spacer 2, and large subunit ribosomal RNA
Rfam family: 5.8S ribosomal RNA (bases 1-105)
Source: RNAcentral
GAAAUGCGAUAAUUAAUGUGAAUUGCAGAAUUCAGUGAAUCAUCGAGUCUUUGAACGCACAUUGCGCCCCCUGGUAUUCCGGGGGGCAUGCCUGUCCGAGCGUCAUUGCUGCCCUCAAGCACGGCUUGUGUGUUGGGCUUCCGUCCCUGGCAACGGGGACGGGCCCAAAAGGCAGUGGCGGCAGCAUGUCUGGUCCUCGAGCGUAUGGGGCUUUGUCACCCGCUCCCGUAGGUCCAGCUGGCAGCUAGCCUCGCAACCAAUCUUUUUAACCAGGUUGACCUCGGAUCAGGUAGGGAUACCCGCUGAACUUAAGC